RNAcentral lists this long non-coding RNA (478 nucleotides) under Sus scrofa (pig). RNAcentral describes it as "lncRNA (ENSSSCG00060054549.1)". Lineage: Eukaryota; Metazoa; Chordata; Mammalia; Artiodactyla; Suidae. The record is from RNAcentral.
GCGCGACGUUUCAGAAAGUUUAUAAUAGCACUGCCAGCAGAAGAUCAGCAACCUGACAGCCACUAAGAGGAGUAAGGACAAACUGCUACUCACACAAUGGAGUAUAUGCCGCGGCAGUGCCAAGGAAGGAGCUACAGGCAUCAAUGUCUGGUUUCCAGACCACAACCAGGAGUCAUAUCCAUUCUUCAAAUGGUUUGUAAAGAAUGUGCGCUUAAACGAGGCAGGAUGGCAGUGGUCGUCAUAUCACCCGGAACAAUCACCAGGCAAGGACGACUGCGUUGUGACUGCUGUUUUGCAGAGAGCCCCUGUCCAUCAUUAUUAAUACUUCCAUGGAGAAACCACGUUUUCAUUUAAAUUUAACUUGGCGUCUCAGCUGGUGUCCACGCGUGUUUACCGACUCGUCUGUGGACCUCAGAAGCCGCGGUCCCUGAGCCGAGGGCGGAGGAGCGCUGCCCACCCCGCCAGAUGGAAAAGGGAC